This 253-nucleotide ribosomal RNA is filed under the name uncultured bacterium. RNAcentral's name for it is "partial 16S ribosomal RNA". It matches the Rfam family "Bacterial small subunit ribosomal RNA", at positions 524 to 776 of the family's 1533-position model. The record is from RNAcentral.
UACGUAGGGGGCAAGCGUUACCCGGAUUUACUGGGCGUAAAGAGCGUGUAGGCGGCCACACAGGUCCGCUGUGAAAACUCGAGGCUCAACCUCGAGCUGUCGGUGGAAACCGUGUGGCUAGAGUCCGGAAGAGGAGAGUGGAAUUCCCGGUGUAGCGGUGAAAUGCGCAGAUAUCGGGAAGAACACCCGUGGCGAAGGCGGCUCUCUGGGACGGUACUGACGCUGAGACGCGAAAGCGUGGGGAGCGAACAGG